CUGCAGCCCGAGUGGUGAUCGAUUUUAUUGAGCCUAAAGCGUCCGUAGCCGGACUAGUAAACCCUUGGGUAAAUUGGGCAGCUUAACUGUCCAAAUUCCGAGGGGACUGCUAGUCUUGGGACCGGGAGAGGUCAGAGGUACUCAAGGGGUAGGGGCUAAAUCCUGUAAUCCUUUGGGGACCACCAGUGGCGAAGGCGUCUGACUAGAACGGAUCCGACGGUAAGUGACGAAACCCUGGGGCGCGAACCGGAUUAGAUACCCGAGUAGUCC
This 270-nucleotide ribosomal RNA is filed under the name uncultured archaeon. Its description in RNAcentral is "partial 16S ribosomal RNA". It matches the Rfam family "Archaeal small subunit ribosomal RNA", at positions 477 to 747 of the family's 1478-position model. The record is from RNAcentral.